GGAACCUUUAAGCUGAUGUGCAUGUUUGCCUUACGGACAUUUGUUGCAGACGGACGCGCCGUUCGGCCAUUGAAAAACAGCCCAAAAACGACAAACAUGGCUCGGUAAAUGAUAUUAAGACACCUUUUAGAAAGUCUUUGCCAGGGGACCAGCAGGUGGCAGUAGCGAAUACCGCGCACUCAAACCCGCCUGCAGCUGCGUGAAAAAUGAGCUCCAACACUAAUAAAGAGAGAAGGUGGGAUUGGCUCCAGCGCUCCUGCGAAACUCGUGAGGAUAAGCGGCUCAGAAACUGGAUGGAUGGAUGAAUGUCGCGAGUUCGUCCUUCCAGAAGAGUGUGACUGUGCCGCGAUUGGCUGGCGACACAACAUCAGAUGAAAAUGGAUGCAGUACCACUGAUUGGUCAGCAGUCACUCGGCACGUGUACAAGAUUUGUCGACGUAAGAUCGCAUUGGCUAUAAACUGCCUUGUCAAAGAUCCAUUUGAACUUUUUUUUUUUUAUUAACUAGGUCUGAGUAUUAAAGGGCAAACUGUAACCACACUGAUUCCAUUUUUAGGAGGAAAAAAAAAAUCAAAGGAAUAAAAAAAGAUCAUACUUCGUAACAAUCCAAAGCGC
Molecule: long non-coding RNA, 613 nt
Organism: Syngnathoides biaculeatus (alligator pipefish)
Lineage: Eukaryota; Metazoa; Chordata; Actinopteri; Syngnathiformes; Syngnathidae
Exons: 4
Source: RefSeq, a predicted model, not a curated record